CCUACGGGGGGCAGCAGUGGGGAAUAUUGGACAAUGGGGGGAACCCUGAUCCAGCCAUGCCGCGUGUGUGAAGAAGGCCCUCGGGUUGUAAAGCACUUUCAGUGAGGAAGAACGCCUGGUGGUUAAUACCCAUCAGGAAAGACAUCACUCACAGAAGAAGCACCGGCUAACUCCGUGCCAGCAGCCGCGGUAAUACGGAGGGUGCGAGCGUUAAUCGGAAUUACUGGGCGUAAAGCGCGCGUAGGUGGCUUGAUAAGCCGGUUGUGAAAGCCCCGGGCUCAACCUGGGAACGGCAUCCGGAACUGUCAAGCUAGAGUGCAGGAGAGGAAGGUAGAAUUCCAGGUGUAGCGGUGAAAUGCGUAGAGAUCGGGAGGAAUACCAGUGGCGAAGGCGGCCUUCUGGACUGACACUGACACUGAGGUGCGAAAGCGUGGGUAGCAAACAGGAUUAGAUACCCUUGUAGUC
This 465-nucleotide ribosomal RNA is filed under the name Vreelandella stevensii. Its description in RNAcentral is "partial 16S ribosomal RNA". It matches the Rfam family "Bacterial small subunit ribosomal RNA", at positions 338 to 795 of the family's 1533-position model. The record is from RNAcentral. Lineage: Bacteria; Pseudomonadati; Pseudomonadota; Gammaproteobacteria; Oceanospirillales; Halomonadaceae.